RNAcentral lists this ribosomal RNA (301 nucleotides) under uncultured bacterium. RNAcentral describes it as "partial 16S ribosomal RNA". It matches the Rfam family "Bacterial small subunit ribosomal RNA", at positions 509 to 807 of the family's 1533-position model. The record is from RNAcentral.
CAGCCGCCGCGGUAACACAGAGGAUGCAAGCGUUAUCCGGAAUGAUUGGGCGUAAAGCGUCUGUAGGUGGCUUUUUAAGUCCGCCGUCAAAUCCCAGGGCUCAACCCUGGACAGGCGGUGGAAACUACCAAGCUGGAGUACGGUAGAGGCAGAAGGAAUUUCCGGUGUAGCGGUGAAAUGCGUUGAGAUCGGAAAGAACACCAACGGCGAAAGCACUCUGCUGGGCCGACACUGACACUGAGAGACGAAAGCUAGGGGAGCAAAUGGGAUUAGAUACCCCUGUAGUCCCUGUCUCUUAUAC